AUUUUUCCUCUUUAUUCCCCUUCUCUUCCUCCUUACCUCUGCUCUCACACAUCCUUCGUCCCCUCUUACCAACCCUCUCCCAUAUUUCUCCCCACUUCCUCCAUGCCCUCCUGUUCUACUCCCUCCACCACCACCCACCAAAGCUCUCUGGUGGAUGUGAGCUGACAGUGGUCCUCCAGGACUUCAGUGCGGGCCACAGCAGCGAGCUGACCAUCCAGGUGGGGCAGACGGUAGAGCUGCUGGAACGGCCCAGCGAGCGGCCCGGUUGGUGUCUGGUCCGUACCACCGAACGGAGCCCACCCUUGGAGGGUCUGGUCCCCAGCAGCACCCUGUGCAUCUCACACUCCCGAAGCAGCGUGGAGAUGGACUGCUUCUUCCCCUUGGUGAAAGAUGCAUACUCUCAUUCCUCAAGUGAGAAUGGAGGCAAGUCCGAGUCCGUGGCCAACCUGCAGGCCCAGCCCUCCCUGAACUCCAUCCACAGUUCCCCGGGUCCCAAGCGCUCCACCAACACUCUUAAGAAGUGGCUGACGAGUCCUGUGCGUCGGCUCAACAGCGGGAAGGCAGAUGGA
RNAcentral lists this small RNA (569 nucleotides) under Pongo abelii (Sumatran orangutan). RNAcentral's name for it is "retained intron". Lineage: Eukaryota; Metazoa; Chordata; Mammalia; Primates; Hominidae. The record is from RNAcentral.